Molecule: small nucleolar RNA, 89 nt
Organism: Ailuropoda melanoleuca (giant panda)
Lineage: Eukaryota; Metazoa; Chordata; Mammalia; Carnivora; Ursidae
Source: Ensembl
UUGCCACCAUGGUCUCUAGCACUGGGCUCUGACCUACCCUGAGGAUGGGGUGUCCCUGGGACUCCGACACCUAGGGAUCUGAGAGGUCC